GAACGGGUGAGUAACACGUGGGCAAUCUGCCCUUCACUCUGGGACAAGCCCUGGAAACGGGGUCUAAUACCGGAUAUCACUUCCACUCGCAUGGGUGGGGGUUGAAAGCUCCGGCGGUGAAGGAUGAGCCCGCGGCCUAUCAGCUUGUUGGUGAGGUAAUGGCUCACCAAGGCGACGACGGGUAGCCGGCCUGAGAGGGCGACCGGCCACACUGGGACUGAGACACGGCCCAGACUCCUACGGGAGGCAGCAGUGGGGAAUAUUGCACAAUGGGCGAAAGCCUGAUGCAGCGACGCCGCGUGAGGGAUGACGGCCUUCGGGUUGUAAACCUCUUUCAGCAGGGAAGAAGCGAAAGUGACGGUACCUGCAGAAGAAGCGCCGGCUAACUACGUGCCAGCAGCCGCGGUAAUACGUAGGGCGCAAGCGUUGUCCGGAAUUAUUGGGCGUAAAGAGCUCGUAGGCGGUCUGUCGCGUCGGAUGUGAAAGCCCGGGGCUUAACCCCGGGUCUGCAUUCGAUACGGGCAGACUAGAGUGUGGUAGGGGAGAUCGGAAUUCCUGGUGUAGCGGUGAAAUGCGCANAUAUCAGGAGGAACACCGGUGGCGAAGGCGGAUCUCUGGGCCAUUACUGACGCUGAGGAGCGAAA
This 644-nucleotide ribosomal RNA is filed under the name Streptomyces sp. 5113_2. Its description in RNAcentral is "bacterial SSU rRNA". It matches the Rfam family "Bacterial small subunit ribosomal RNA", at positions 100 to 758 of the family's 1533-position model. The record is from RNAcentral. Lineage: Bacteria; Bacillati; Actinomycetota; Actinomycetes; Kitasatosporales; Streptomycetaceae.